Mytilus californianus (California mussel) is the source of this 2330-nucleotide RNA transcript. RefSeq lists it as uncharacterized. NCBI's taxonomy places the organism in Eukaryota, Metazoa, Mollusca, Bivalvia, Mytilida, Mytilidae. The record is from RefSeq and is a predicted model, not a curated record. The transcript has 6 exons.
GUUUAAAUCUAAACAUGUAUUCUACCCAUAUAAUGACUUCCGCAAAGUUGUAAAUAUAAAGUACUAUGGAGGAGAGUAUUUUACUUCUGUUGUUUAGGAUAGUAGUUUUUCUUUAAGAUAUACAAAAUGUACAGCUACAAACAGUUCCAGAUCCAUGUCCAGAGUAUAUCUCCAGUACAACCAUCGGGGAUAUGUGCACCACUGAUUAUGCAACAGAAGAAGAUAACAAUGGAGGUACAACAGAAGACAGUGUUGCACUACGUGUUGUGACACAACAAGAUGGAUGUGAAUGUGAAGUUACAUUACAGAAUCAGACUAAUAUAUAUAUACAUUAUAUAUGAGGAAGUAUGAUAUGAUGACAAGUGCAGCUCCAGAACAGAUAGCAUGUGGGCUUGCCAUUAAGAUAGACUACACCAUACCAACAAAUCUCCCAGAGACUAAGGAUACAAUAAAUUGUACAGAUGGAACAAAUUCUCGCGCUAUAUCACUUUUGAAAAACGGAGUUCUAAAUCUCAGAUCUAGAAUUAUUGAUGGUACUUUUACUAGAGGUUACUGUAUUCAAAUAUAUAGACAACAAUUACUUGGCGACGAACAAAGUCUGCGAAUAAGUUGCAGUCAAUUUCGUACAACCACACGUAUUACAAAACACAAGGAGACAAUGCCAGAUAACUGUGGUAAUUGUUUUCUUAUUUCUCAUUGACUACAUAUUUGUUCAAUUUGGAGGUAGACUUUUUCUACAAAGUGUCGGCAUUCCUAUGGGAACGAACUAUGCGCCUCUCCUUUUCUUAUUUUCAUAUGAGUAGGAGUUCUUCCAGACACUUGUCAAAAACAAGAAGAUCAAACAAGCCAGAUCAUUUAAUUUCGAAUUCAGAUAUAUUGAUGAUGUUCUUUCCAUUAACAGUACAAACUUUUCUGAUUGGGUUCCAUUAAUAUGUCCCCCAGAACUAGAAAUAAAAGAAACAACAGACACGGCUUCCUCCGCCUCAUUUUUAGACCUAUACCUCGAAUUUGACAUGAGCGGUCAUCUCAGUACCAGAAUCUAUGACAACCGAGACGAUUUUAAUUUUGAAAUUAUCAAUUUCACCCACCUUAGGAGCAAUUUACCAACUUCGCCUGCAUAUGGAAUAUACAUUUUCCAACUCAUUCGGUAUUCAAGAGCUUGCUGCUACUACCCAGACUUUAGAAAACGUCGCCAGUAUCUGAGCAGAAAGUUGAUGAACUAGGGUAAUGUCUUUCCCUUUUUCAAAAAAAGUUCAUCGGAAGAUUCCAAGACCUUGUUGAUAAAUAUUCCGUAUCAACUUCAAAAUUAAUACAUGAUGGUCUUUAAGUAUAGAUUUUAGGUACUGACGUUGUUUAUCAUCUUAAUUACGUGUUAAAGUGUUCUUUUAUUUGGUCUGUUUGUUUUGUUCACACAUUGUUGUCAAUAUAAUGGAAUUUUAUGCGACUGUCAUACAAGUGAGAGGUUUAGCUAGCUAUAGCUAUAAAACCAGGUUUAGUCCUUCAUUUUCUACAUAAGGAAAUGCCUGUACCAAGUCAGAAAUAUGACAGUUGUUUUUUUUUCAAUUGUUUGAUGUGUUUGAGCUUUUGAUUUUGCCAUUUGAUAAGGGACUUUCCGAUUUAAAUUUUCCUUGGAGUUUAUUUUUUGUUAUUUUACUUUUUUCUUCUUACAAAAAAACGGAGCUCUUAGCACACUAACGUAAUCGAUAAGCGAACAUAAAACUGUAUUACUAUUAAUUCAUUAUAUCUGUUUAAAGAGCAUUAAUAUACUUUAUUUACAAACUCUCAAAAUUAAUCGUUGAGUUUUGUUUCGAGCAAUAGUCCCUUUGUAUGUGUUUUGUAGAAAAUGUCAUUGUAAGUUUACCAGUAAUUGUUGCUGCUGCUAUCGGUUGGUGUUUAACAGUAUUGUUUGCCAUAUCAACGAUCUAUAUGUACAGAAAAAGAAAUACACCACCACUAAAUACUGCUAUUGAACAACAUACCAACCCGCAAUAUGAGGAUUUAAGAGCAUCACGGACUUCAUCUUGUUACAAUGAGGUUGAUUUAUCAAUCAUUAUUAAUGCUGAACGACAUGAUCAUAUUUGACACCCAUAUAGUUACUAGAAUAAAGAAUAUGAAGGAUAAUGUCAUUCAUACACAUAUGUAGAGAUUGAUUUGGCUGACAGGAAUAUAUAAAGGAAAAUAUAAAACAGAUGUCGAUUUUUAAUGUGAUAAUCUGUACAAGUGACGUAGCAGCAUUUACACACAAAGUUUGCAAUACAUAGUUUAGAACGUUGCUAUUUCAUAGAUCUUAGCAUAAAAGCAUAUAAUUUUACAGACAAUUUAAUGAUAUU